RNAcentral lists this ribosomal RNA (490 nucleotides) under uncultured bacterium. RNAcentral describes it as "partial 16S ribosomal RNA". It matches the Rfam family "Bacterial small subunit ribosomal RNA", at positions 30 to 507 of the family's 1533-position model. The record is from RNAcentral.
AUUGAACGCUGGCGGCAGGCCUAACACAUGCAAGUCGAACGGUAACAGGAAGAAGCUUGCUUCUUUGCUGACGAGUGGCGGACGGGUGAGUAAUGUCUGGGAAACUGCCUGAUGGAGGGGGAUAACUACUGGAAACGGUAGCUAAUACCGCAUAACGUCGCAAGACCAAAAAGGGGGACCUUCGGGCCUCUUGCCAUCGGAUGUGCCCAGAUGGGAUUAGCUAGUAGGCGGGGUAACGGCUCACCUAGGCGACGAUCCCUAGCUGGUCUGAGAGGAUGACCAGCCACACUGGAACUGAGACACGGUCCAGACUCCUACGGGAGGCAGCAGUGGGGAAUAUUGCACAAUGGGCGCAAGCCUGAUGCAGCCAUGCCGCGUGUAUGAAGAAGGCCUUCGGGUUGUAAAGUACUUUCAGCGGGGAGGAAGGGAGUAAAGUUAAUACCUUUGCUCAUUGACGUUACCCGCAGAAGAAGCACCGGCUAACUCCGUG